This is a non-coding RNA of Podarcis lilfordi (Lilford's wall lizard), 131 nucleotides long. NCBI's taxonomy places the organism in Eukaryota, Metazoa, Chordata, Lepidosauria, Squamata, Lacertidae. The record is from the annotation of a GenBank genome assembly.
UGUCCAGUAGCACCUUAGAGACCAACUAAGUUUGUUCCGGGUAUAAGCGUUCGUGUGCAUGCACGCUUCUUCAGAUACCAAAAGCUUAUACCCGGAACAAACUUAGUUCGUCUCUAAGGUGCUACUGGACA